Molecule: long non-coding RNA, 780 nt
Filed under: Haliotis rubra (blacklip abalone)
Lineage: Eukaryota; Metazoa; Mollusca; Gastropoda; Lepetellida; Haliotidae
Description: uncharacterized LOC124261989, transcript variant X2
Source: RNAcentral
AGUCACUAGAAGGUGGACAGUGCAACCAGACAGGUACUUAGUCACUAGAAGGUGAACAGUGCAGGCAGACAGGUACUUAGUCACUAGAAGGUGGACAGUGCAACCAGACAGGUACUUAGUCACUAGAAGGUGGACAGUGCAACCAGACAGGUACUUAGUCACUAGAAGGUGGACAGUGCAACCAGACAGGUACUUAGUCACUAGAAGGUGGACAGUGCAACCAGACAGGUACUUAGUCACUAGAAGGUGGACAGUGCAACCAGACAGGUACUUAGUCACUAGAAGGUGGACAGUGCAACCAGACAGGUGCUUAGUCACUAGAAGGUGGACAGUGCAACCAGACAGGUGCUUAGUCACUAGAAGGUGGACAGUGCAACCAGACAGGUACUUAGUCACUAGAAGGUGGACAGUGCAACCAGACAGGUACUUAGUCACUAGAAGGUGGACAGUGCAACCAGACAGGUACUUAGUCACUAGAAGGUGGACAGUGCAACCAGACAGGUACUUAGUCACUAGAAGGUGGACAGUGCAACCAGACAGGUACUUAGUCACUAGAAGGUGGACAGUGCAACCAGACAGGUACUUAGUCACUAGAAGGUGGACAGUGCAACCAGACAGGUACUUAGUCACUAGAAGGUGGACAGUGCAACCAGACAGGUACUUAGUCACUAGAAGGUGGACAGUGCAACCAGACAGGUACUUAGUCACUAGAAGGUGGACAGUGCAACCAGACAGGUACUUAGUCACUAGAAGGUGGACAGUGCAACCAGACAGGUACUU